Molecule: long non-coding RNA, 1995 nt
Filed under: Phoenix dactylifera (date palm)
Lineage: Eukaryota; Viridiplantae; Streptophyta; Magnoliopsida; Arecales; Arecaceae
Description: long non-coding RNA (PDAC_LNC011042)
Source: RNAcentral
CUCUCAUUUUAUUAUUUGCUCGUUAAUUGCUAGAGACUAGCAAUAAGCUAGUUGGGGGGUGUGAUGAGAGCACAAAAGUGUGAUCUACACAUCACUUAAAUUAGUAUUAUUGCUAACAAAUAAUGAUAAAAGUGAUGUAUUAAUAUUAUAUUUUUGUGGGGUGCAGGUGAUCGGAAAUCAAAGCUAAAAUGCACAUUGGGUCCAAAAAUAUGCAUCACUGCAGGUGACCAGCCAACCGCAUGUGUCAACCAUAGUUGCACACUAAAAGGAGGUCAAGUUCAGCCGUCCACUUCAUCGCAGCUUCAGUCUUCUGUGUGAGCCCAAGCAUCUGAGCCGCGUGCAGUCCAUCCGCCCGCGUGGAAGAAUCGCGAAGCAUCCUCCACGUCUGCUUCUCCCGAGCGUCCCAGCGUGCGACCCCUCAUCCCGUGUGCGUGCAACCUCCCAGUCCUUCGCAUCUGCUUCAUCCGCGAGAUUACACCGCGUCCCAGCUUCCUUCAAGCAUCCAACCAUGAUCCCAGGACCCAUGUAGCGUUGCAGCCGUCUGCAAGUAUCUCCAGAUUUCAUCCAUCCGAGUCCCAGCCUCUUCAGAUACCAUCCACGAUGCUUGCGGAGCCCACGAUGCAUGCCAAGCGUUCACAAUCUCCCGAGCAACUCGCUUCCCAGCGAUUUUCCAGCAAGUCCCGACUUCAUCCCAGCGUCCACGCUCCUCCCUUCCGAUCCAUCUGCCUCUUCCACGUUGGAUCCACUCGCGUGUAAUCUCCCAGCAGAAUUUCCAGCCGCAUCCAGCCAUCCGUUUCAGCUUCUUGGCAUUCCUAGCUUUAUCCCAUGAUUCACAUCCCAAAUUUCAGGAGCUUUUCCAACUUCUCUCCACAUCCCAGCACGUCUUAGCCUAUUCCCAGCCGUCCACGAUGCAUCCAGAUUCAUCCCAGUCGGCCAUCAAUUCCAAGGAUCAGCGUGUGGGAGAUUCUCUAGUUCAAAAGAAAGGAAACAGAAUGCCGCGUGAAGACAUCUCAUCCCGAACAUCCAUCUCACGCACUCCCAGCUAAUUGCAUGCGAUCCACAGCAUCCUGAUUGAUUUUCUUCCGGAUUAGCAUCCAUCCGUUGAUCUCCACUGCGAGAAAUCAGGGAUCCAUCGCAGCAUAUAGAGGAGUUUUCUCAGCUAGAACGGGGGAUCUCGUUUUCAUUCGAAAAAACAGAGGAGAGUUUCAGCCAUUUUGAAAGAAAAUAAAAAGGGAGGAAGAAACAGGGCAUCCCCUGUUUUUCUGAAAAGAAAAAGAAAAGAAAGAAAUGAUGAGAGGGAGGAUAAUGUUUUUAAUGGAAGGCUAAAAUCCUAGGUGAUGGGUGGAGGAAGAUCCUUUGAUGUACCGAGUUCAUGAUGUAAAUUCUAAUCCUUUGCUUUAUACGAUUUAUCUUUUGAUUAUGUCAUGAUUCUUAUAUGUUGAAAAUUCUUUUAUGAUUUAUGCUAAUUGAUACAUGUCUUCCUCGAUUAUUUGAUUCAUCGUUGACGUUAUAAGGCACGUUGAAUACUUAGAAAGAGAAUUCGUGUUAUCAAGAACAUACUUCAUAAUUAAAUUUUAUCUGCUUAUAAUUCUUAAAGAAAACAAAAGAAUCAUAGAAUUUAUCGCAUGAAUUUGAUAUUAUCAUAGGAGAUUCUGGAUCCCUACACCAUCUUAAUCUAUCUAAACUUCGAUUCUCUAUUUACUGAUUUAUUUUCUAUUUGCAAAACAUCAUCUUAAUCCACAAAUUUAUUGAAUUAAUUAAUCUAAAAUUAUACUAAAUAAUCUCAUAUCUAUUUCGUUUCCUGAGGAUUCGACCUCGGACUUCCGAGAAUUUACUACUUGUACGAUUCUCCUAUACUUGGGAGAUUAGUUUCGUGAAAGCAUUUCGUUCCUUUGGCUCCUUAGCAAGAGCUAUGGCGCCAUUAUUAUCGCAGUAGAGUGUUAUAGCAUCUGAUGUCAUCACGUCCAACUUUGCAAUGAAUUUCUUGAACCAGAA